GACGAACGCUGGCGGCGUGCCUAAUACAUGCAAGUCGAGCGGACUUUCUUGAAGCUUGCUUUUUGACAGUUAGCGGCGGACGGGUGAGUAACACGUGGGCAACCUGCCUGCAAGACGGGUAUAACUCCGGGAAACCUGGGCUAAUACCGGAUAAUCUCUUACUUCACAUGCAGAAAUGUUGAAAGGCGACUCAAGCUACCGCUUGCAUAUUGGCCCGCGGCGCAUUAGCUAGUUGGGGAGGUAACGGCUCACCAAGGCGACGUUGCGUAGCCGAACUGAGGGGGUGAUGGGGCAAACUGGGAAUGAGAAACGGGCCAGACCUCUACGGGAGGGAGCAGUAGGGAAUCUUCCGAAAUGGAGGAAAGUCUGACGGAGGAAAGCCGCGUGAGCGAAGAAGGUCUUCGGAUCGGAAAGAUCUGGUGGCAGGGAAGAAAAAGGACCGUGAGAAAAGGGUGGUAUCUUGACGGUACCUGACCAGAAAGCCACGGCUAACUACGUG
RNAcentral lists this ribosomal RNA (499 nucleotides) under uncultured bacterium. RNAcentral's name for it is "partial 16S ribosomal RNA". It matches the Rfam family "Bacterial small subunit ribosomal RNA", at positions 28 to 507 of the family's 1533-position model. The record is from RNAcentral.